GGGGUGCCCCAGAAGGGCCCGGGGCUCUCUGCCACCACGCCAGUUGAGAAGCCACCAUCUGCAAAGUCUUGACGCUGUGUGAUGGUCUGUUGCUUCCCGCAGAGGAGAGCUGCUCUCCACUCCACACCCGCAGUGAGGCCAGGAACCCCACCUCCCUCCCGGGGUUGGGUUUUACCCUCAGACAAGGCGCGCUCCCAGUGGGAUGACUGGGUGAGCCUGGGAGGGCCCUGGCUCCUGGUGUAUUUAGGACAGCAACAGGCCACCAUCCUGGCUUCCCAGUCCGUACACCAAACCCAGAUAGUUUCUCCCCCACCAUUUCCCCUCUAACCCAUAUAUAAUGAUGUUUUUCUUCUUUUUCUUUCUUAGGAGAAGGAUUGAAGAGCUGCAGGGACACACCUAAGGCAUUGUUAGUAAAAGCUCCGGAAGAGACCACGAACCCUGUUAGGAAUGAGCAGAAUCAAAAUUAGGGAAUGGAUGAAUAAGUGAGUACAACCACUACCAAGUAAGUACCUGCUAUGGGUCAGGUGCUGCGCUAAGCACUAUAUCCACAAUUUCCCACUGAAUUUUCUUAAUGAUUCUAUCACAAGAGCAACUUUGUCUUUCAGAUGAGGAAACUGAGGUUCAGAAAGGAUGAGAAUAUUGCUCAAAAUAAUUCAGUUAAUAAAUGAUGGGGCUGGGAUUUCAGCUUGACUCCUUCAACUCCAAAUCCCCUGCUCUUUGACCACCACCAUGCUGACGAGAAGUGGGGAACUUGGGGGCUUGGACAGGGAGGCAUGGCAUUGAGCGCCCCCUGGUCACUCCCUCAGGGGCAAGGCUGCUUUCGUGCUGGGGCUGGGUGUUCGCAACUGGAGGUGCCACAAUUGGCCUAUGUUGUUCCCUCCAUGUAGCAUCUGCCUUGUAUGUCCUCCUGUUUCCCCACAUGGUUUUGAAAUCUACUUCUUUAACAGUUAGAGCAAACAGAUGUGGAGAAGCAAUUCCUGAAGAGAUAGACCACUGGCAAAUGUCAGAACACACGUGGUUUCUGGAAGCUUCCCAAGGGGCUGCUUUUUCACAUAGGAACAGUGGCACCCCAACCACUAGAGGAACACUGCGUUUUGAAAGAAGAUUCUAAUCAAAGAAGAUUCUUACCUCAUUAGAAUUCACAUGGAAGGAGUUCCACAUGGAAGGCCCGGUCUGGAGUAAGUGUGAAAAGUGCAUCUUUCCAGCGUUUCUCAAAUGGUACUCCAUCAUAUGCCUUGACAUUCAAUCAGUCUCAUCACCAAAACCAAGAGUGGCUGGACCUCAAAGAAUGGGGACUUUGAGGAAGCUGAGAAAAAAGCGUCUGGGAUGCGAUUUCACUUCACCCAAAUCUCCUGUGAGCCUCUAGUUAUUCUCUCCUGAAUGCAAGGCCUACGAAAAGCGGUCUUGAGUCACAGCCCGGAAGGCCGAGUUCUUGUAGGACAAAAAUUAUCCCAAUCAACUGCUGGCCCUGCUGGGCCCAUCUGUUAUUGGAAUUAAGUCCUUCUUUUCAUUUAACUCAAACUGAAGAAACUUUCUGGCAAGGUGUCAGGUUUCAAACAGAAAUGUCAGCCAAGGGCUUGUGAGGCCAAGGUCUGAGCAAACUUGAAUCAAUUUAUGCUUUGGGUAAGAAUUCACUUGGAAUUUAGUGGUCUGGUGGGUCCAUUUGUGAAAUGCCCCUCAUUUGCAAGUGCUGGACUAAAUCUUGCUAGGAGCUGGGUAUAGAGUCAACAUCAGAGGCCCAUGUGACUUCUACCCUAUGUGAGGGUUAGCAGUAAAUGGGUUGCGGGGCAGACUAGAGUGAUCUUCCCCAGCAUAAGAGCAGAAAAGAACUGGGACAUGUUCUAAGUUCUAAUUUAAACCUUGCUCUAUGUAUGAACCAGUCAAAACUAACCCUAUUGAUGAUAAUAACAGCAAGAGCCUUUAAUGAAUACUUACUAUAUGCCAGGCUCUGUGCUAGGUACCUUACAUUUACUGAUCAAUGAAUCCUCUUGAUAAUUACACAAAAUGGAUUUUAUUAUUUUCUCUAUUUCAUAGUUGAAAAUAAAGCAGAGAAACAGAGCUUCAGAAACAUGCACCAGCUUAAAAAGUAAUAAUCCUCACCUGAGGAUAUGUUUUAUUGAUUUUAGAGAGAGAGGGAGGGAGAGAGAAAGAGAGAAACAUUUAUGUGAGAGAGAACCAUCGAUUGGUUGCCUCCCAUGGGCACCCUGACCAGGAAUUGAACCCACAACCUUUUGGUGAAUGGGACAAUGCUCCAAGCAAAUGAGGCACUCGGCCAGGGCUGCACCAGCUUUUGGCCAGCAAAGACCAGCAUUUGGACUAUUUGCCUCCAGAACAUCUGCUCUUAAUGCUUGUCAGGAACUGACUGGGUAAUGAGCCCACAUGCAGGAAUAUAAAUAAGCUCACUGCAGGUGUAGUUGAAAUAUCACACCCUGUACAGCACUUUUCAGAACUCAGACUCCAUUUUGGUGUCAAAGAUAUAUAAGCCUCAUAGAAAAACUUGAUUUUUUUCCCCUCCUAGCUCUCAUAUAAAGAGAAAGCACUAAGAUAAUUAACUGGAAAAUCAAGUCUCCAAGUUUUUGUACCUCAUACCAGUACACUGGACUGGCCAACAUUCCUCCUCAUCCCAUGGGGUGCUGAAGACUUAUUUAAAUCACUUUUUUUGCACUCUUAGCAUUUGGGUGAAGAUACACCAGGGAUUGUCUAGGAUUCGGACAGCUUUGAAGAUCAGCAUAAAAAGCAACACAGCAGUAAGAAGAAGCCCUGAUGGGGGUUGGCAGGCCUCAGCCACCCACUAAGUGAUUUAUGACUAUACACAUGCUCUUUGCAGCAGGCUUGACUCAAACCCAAACCUAAUCAACAGAUAUAUGAAAAGAUGCCCAACUCCAGGAAUAGGGAUGGAAAUGCAAAUUAAAUGACAUUUUUCACAUAUUAAUUUGUCGAAAAUUUCUAACUUGGAUAAUAUCAAUCAUAGCAACAAUAAGGAGAAACGGGUACUUUCUGCUGAUGAAAAUAUGCAUUGGAACAGUCAUUUUGGAAGUAUUAAAAAUGUACACCCCCUGUGAGCCAGCAAUUCUUUUUUGGUAUCUACCAUUAAGAAACAUUUAUACAUAUUCAUAAGAAUGUGCAUUGCACCAUCAUUUGUGCUGUCAAAAAAAACUAGAGAUACCACGCAAUGUUACACCGGCAGCUCAUAAAAAGGUAGAUCUCUAUGUCCUGAUAAUAAAAAUUCUUCAGUUAAAAACCCACACAACAUGGUGUCAUCCAAUGCUAUUAACACACCCCCAGGCAUACACACAUGUAUAGAAAUAAAUGGAAAAACACAAACUCAUAGGUGAGAUUAGCUCUGGGGAACUCCAGGGAUGACACAGUGGUCAUGUGUACCACCCAACAUUCAUUCACUCAGCAAGUACUGUCUAGAACAUUCUGUGCCAGGCACUGAUGCUGCUUUGUAAUCAAGAAAGCAGACAUAUGUCCUUGCAACCAUGAUUGUUUUGUUAUGUAUGUUUAUAGAAUAAGAAUGCACUCAUAUGUAAUUUGUGUAAGUAAAAAUAAGUAAAAAUAAAAGCAAAUUAAAUACACAUUUUUAUAUUAAUAAAGCAGCAAGUGACUAUUUACUUUGGCUUCUGGCAGUCCUUGCGAGCAGUCCCAGCCAUAAAUCACUGCUAUGGCUACUGUAAUCCCUAAAGGGUUCCCUUUGGAUGGUUGGCACAGACAGGGGUGCAGUGACAGCCUCGCAUAGCACAGACUUGCACAGAGGUUGUUCAUUCCUUCCAUUAAUAUUCCUUGGGAGCAUCAUUAGGCACAAAAUAUGAGUAAAUCCCCAUCAAUUAUAUGCAUAUUCACCAAAAGACAUAUACGGGAAUGGUCUUAGCAUCACGAUCAAGAGCAGCCCCCAAAUGGAAACCACCUAAAUGUACUAUACUCACACAAAAGAAUACUGUAUGCCAAUGAAAAUCAAUGUAUUAAAACCAUAUGCAACAAUGUUGAUGAAGCUCUCCAAUAUAGUGUUGAAUGAAGGAAGCCUGGUACAAGAAUCACCUCCUGCAUAAUUCCAUUUCUAUGACAUUCAAUGACAGGCACAGAGAACAUACAACACUAGAAGGCAGGAUGCCCACUACUCCUGGCCGGGAGGAAUACACAGGGUGCAUUGUGGAGACUUUGAGGAGUGCUAGAGAUGUUCAGCUUGCUCUGUGUGCCAGUUAUGGCGAAUGGUUAGUUUAUAAAAAUUUGUUGAGUUUUACAGUUAUGAUUUUUAACUUCUUUGUACGUAUAUUCUACUUCCUUCGAUAGUUUAAAAAAAAUUAAAACAUAAAACCCUAAAAUCCAA
Molecule: long non-coding RNA, 4327 nt
Organism: Myotis myotis
Lineage: Eukaryota; Metazoa; Chordata; Mammalia; Chiroptera; Vespertilionidae
Exons: 3
Source: RefSeq, a predicted model, not a curated record